This 459-nucleotide ribosomal RNA is filed under the name uncultured bacterium. Its description in RNAcentral is "SSU rRNA". It matches the Rfam family "Bacterial small subunit ribosomal RNA", at positions 26 to 518 of the family's 1533-position model. The record is from RNAcentral.
AGAAUCAACGCUGGCGGCGUGCCUAACACAUGCAAGUCGAACGAGAAAGUGGAGCAAUCCAUGAGUAAAGUGGCGACCGGGUGAGUAACACGUGACUAACCUACCUUCGAGUGGGGGAUAACAUCGGGAAACCGAUGCUAAUACCGCAUAACAUCGCAAGAUCAAAGCAGCAAUGCGCUGGAAGAGGGGGUCGCGGCUGAUUAGCUAGUUGGCGGGGUAACGGCCCACCAAGGCGAAGAUCGGUAGCCGGCCUGAGAGGGCGCACGGCCACACUGGAACUGAAACACGGUCCAGACUCCUACGGGAGGCAGCAGUGGGGAAUUUUGCGCAAUGGGGGAAACCCUGACGCAGCAACGCCGCGUGGAGGAUGAAGCCCCUUGGGUGUAAACUCCUUUCGACCAAGACGAUAAUGACGGUACUGGUGGAAGAAGCACCGGCUAACUCUGUGCCAGCAGCCGC